GGCCGUGGUCACGAUGAUAAAGGCAGAACUUGUUAGGGUUGCACUUCUUGGGGUGUGUGCACAUCCUUUCUGGCCUUGACAGCUGCUCCCUGAUCUCCAUCAGCACUUGAGUUUUUGGAGCAUUGAGUGGGGUGUAGCUGUGGAAUCUUUCUGAGGGAGAGCUCUGUCGAACUCUGCGGUCCGGGCUUCUCUGCCUCCAAGCUCGGGGGGG
RNAcentral lists this long non-coding RNA (211 nucleotides) under Elaeis guineensis (African oil palm). Its description in RNAcentral is "long non-coding RNA (EGUI_LNC042740)". The record is from RNAcentral. Lineage: Eukaryota; Viridiplantae; Streptophyta; Magnoliopsida; Arecales; Arecaceae.